Molecule: ribosomal RNA, 744 nt
Filed under: uncultured bacterium
Lineage: Bacteria
Description: bacterial SSU rRNA
Rfam family: Bacterial small subunit ribosomal RNA
Source: RNAcentral
ACGCUGGCGGCAGGCCUAACACAUGCAAGUCGAGCGGUAGAAAGAAGCUUGCUUCUCUUGAGAGCGGCGGACGGGUGAGUAAUGCCUAGGAAUCUGCCUGGUAGUGGGGGAUGACGUUCGGAAACGGACGCUAAUACCGCAUACGUCCUACGGGAGAAAGCAGGGGACCUUCGGGCCUUGCGCUAUCAGAUGAGCCUAGGUCGGAUUAGCUAGUUGGUGGGGUAAUGGCUCACCAAGGCGACGAUCCGUAACUGGUCUGAGAGGAUGAUCAGUCACACUGGAACUGAGACACGGUCCAGACUCCUACGGGAGGCAGCAGUGGGGAAUAUUGGACAAUGGGCGAAGGCCUGAUCCAGCCAUGCCGCGUGUGUGAAGAAGGUCUUCGGAUUGUAAAGCACUUUAAGUUGGGAGGAAGGGUUGUAGAUUAAUACUCUGCAAUUUUGACGUUACCGACAGAAUAAGCACCGGCUAACUCUGUGCCAGCAGCCGCGGUAAUACAGAGGGUGCAAGCGUUAAUCGGAAUUACUGGGCGUAAAGCGCGCGUAGGUGGUUAGUUAAGUUGGAUGUGAAAUCCCCGGGCUCAACCUGGGAACUGCAUUCAAAACUGACUGACUAGAGUAUGGUAGAGGGUGGUGGAAUUUCCUGUGUAGCGGUGAAAUGCGUAGAUAUAGGAAGGAACACCAGUGGCGAAGGCGACCACCUGGACUGAUACUGACACUGAGGUGCGAAGCGUGGGGAGCAAAC